Molecule: non-coding RNA, 125 nt
Organism: Cicer arietinum (chickpea)
Lineage: Eukaryota; Viridiplantae; Streptophyta; Magnoliopsida; Fabales; Fabaceae
Source: Rfam
AAAAAAGCAGUUGUCACCUUUGUGAACAGUCCUCUUGUAACCUUCAGGGACGCAAAAACCCUUGUUAUUGGGUGAACCUCUGUUCCCUUUUUGUGCUUGAAGGUUCAGUAAAUGAUGGAACAUUU